RNAcentral lists this ribosomal RNA (618 nucleotides) under uncultured bacterium. RNAcentral describes it as "bacterial SSU rRNA". It matches the Rfam family "Bacterial small subunit ribosomal RNA", at positions 28 to 605 of the family's 1533-position model. The record is from RNAcentral.
GACGAACGCUGGCGGCGUGCUUAACACAUGCAAGUCGAACGGGGCUAGUCAACCGUUUAAUUAAUUAAACAACAGGCUAGCCAAGUGGCGGACGGGUGAGUAACGCGUGGGCAAUCUGCCCAUAAGACCGGGACAACAUCAGGAAACUGAUGCUAAUACCGGAUACAGUCAUGAACAGGCAUCUGUACAUGAUAAAAAAGCAGCCUCUCGACGAAGCAGCUGCUUAUGGAUGAGCCCGCGUUCCAUUAGCCAGUUGGUGAGGUAACGGCUCACCAAAGCGACGAUGGAUAGCCGGUCUGAGAGGGCGAUCGGCCACACUGGGACUGAGACACGGCCCAGACUCCUACGGGAGGCAGCAGUGGGGAAUAUUGCGCAAUGGGGGGAACCCUGACGCAGCGACGCCGCGUGAGCGAAGAAGGCUUUCGAGUUGUAAAGCUCUGCAGUAAGGGAAGAACGCAGUAUAUACGAAGAUUAUAUGCAGCUGACAGUACCUUAAUAACAGCCCCGGCUAACUACGUGCCAGCAGCCCGCGGUAACACGUAGGGGGCGAGCGUUGUCCGGAAUCACUGGGCGUAAAGGGCGUGUAGGUGGCUGCGAAAGUCAAGGUGUGAAAAGCCU